RNAcentral lists this ribosomal RNA (294 nucleotides) under uncultured bacterium. RNAcentral describes it as "partial 16S ribosomal RNA". It matches the Rfam family "Bacterial small subunit ribosomal RNA", at positions 335 to 646 of the family's 1533-position model. The record is from RNAcentral.
GUGCCUACGGGAGGCAGCAGUGGGGAAUAUUGCACAAUGGGGGAAACCCUGAUGCAGCAACGCCGCGUGAGUGAAGAAGUAUUUCGGUAUGUAAAGCUCUAUCAGCAGGGAAGAAGAUGACGGUACCUGAGUAAGAAGCCCCGGCUAACUACGUGCCAGCAGCCGCGGUAAUACGUAGGGGGCAAGCGUUAUCCGGAAUUACUGGGUGUAAAGGGAGCGUAGACGGCAAUGCAAGUCCGGAGUGGAAUGCGGCAGCUCAACUGCCGAACUGCUCUGGAAACUGUAUUGCUUGAG